CUCAAGGGCUCAUGGGGUGGAGGCGCCCUCGAACCCACCGCAGGAGGGCCCUGGUGGCCUCUUAAGCACACGGCUCUGGGAGCUCUGACCCCCCCCACCCCGCCCCCCCUGUGCCGGGAUGUCCUUUGUGUGCGCCUGUGUUUAUUCGGUCAAGGGCUGGGUCAGGGACUUGGAGUCCCAGCCUCGUGAGGAAAUGGGGGUGGGGGGCUCCCUUGUUCUCCCCCAGGACAACCGGAUGGCCCUGGGUCCUGAGACAAUAGGCCCAGGGAGGGGCCAGGUGCUGGGCUGGGGCAGGAAAAGGACAACUUAAAGAUAAACACGGACCCGCCCACGGACUUGAACUUGGGCCGCAGAGAGGUGCCCCAGGGAGCCCAAGGGAGCCGUGCUGGGGUCGGAGUGGGCGGCGUGUCCAGACAUAGUAACAGCUGUAGUGCUGAGUGUGUGGUUGGCUUCGAGCCUCUUGAAGAUGCCAGACCACCCCCCCAGACCUAUCAUCACCCCCUUGAUAUGGGAAACUGAGGUGCAGGGGGACGUGUCCAAGGCCACGAGCUGAGCCACGGCAGAGUCCACUUUGAACCUGGGUACCCUUCCCGCCUCUGCAUCUUGAAGCUGGGCACCCCCCCAUAUCUAGGAUGUGCCCACCCCCACUCCCGCGUUGCUUCCAGCUGCCACCCAGGGCAGAGGCUGAGCCCCCCCGGGAAAGGUAGGAAGGAUGCACCCCAUUCCUCUGGUCUGGGACUCUGGACUCUGGAGAUUUCUGCCCACAUGAUUUGGGGGGGGGAGGUCACAUCCGUUCUUACACGUGUGAGGCGGGGGGGUUCCUAUGGCGCAAGACCGCUCCCCCUGCAUGUCCUGUGCCCACGACCUUGGUCUCAGGGUGUCAUCAGUAGACCCCAGGGCCUUGGAAUUCUCUGCAGAACCCUACACCACAGCCACAGCAACGCUGGAUCCUUAACCCACUGAGCAAGGCCAGGGAUCGAACCCACGACCUCAUGGUUCCUAGUCGGAUUCGUUUCUGCUGCGCCAAGACGGGAAUUCUCAGAACAUUUUUCAUCUUCCUAAACUGAAACUCUGUCCCCACUAAACACCAACCCCCAGCAAGCGACCUGCCCCCGCAGCCCCCGACACCCGCUGUUCUAUGCUCCGUCUCUGUGGAUCUGACUCCUCUAGGGAGCUCCUGUGAGUAGAAUCCUACAGGAUCUCUCUGUCUCUUGUUCACUCAGCACUGCGUCCUCAAGAUUCAUUGCGUCGUAGCAGGCAUCAGUGCUUUUUAAGGCUGAAUAAUAUUCCAUUGGGUGUGUGUUUCACAUUUAGUUAUUGAGCCACCUGUUGGUGGGCACUGGGGUUGCUUCUGUGUUCGGGCUGUUGUGAGCGGUGUGAUACACGCGUGUGUGCCCACAUCUGCACGAGUGCCUGCCCUUGGUUCUUCCCAUGCGUGUCCUCCAGAGCCUCGCCUGCACCGGGGCGUUGUGUAAGUGGAGUGCUGUGUGCCGCAGGCGCCCUGCAGCCUGGCUGCCUCUGCGUGACAUGCUGUCUGUGACAUGCAUCCAGGUCGCUGAGAUUCGUGCCAUCAGCACAGUUGUUGAUCUGUUCUUUGGCUGAUGGACACCCACUCGGGGCUGUUCUGAAUGGAGAGCUGGGGGCCGUGACCCAGAGAGCCAGGCUGACAGGACAGGACUUCUGCACGCAGCCCACACUGCUCUGGGCAGCUCCCUGGACGAGGCUUCUCCCUGGUGCCAGUCCAGACCUGAGACGUGGCCUCUGCCCCCAAGCGCUCCAGGUGCCUGACAAGGAAGAGAGCUGCCGUUGAGAUGGAGGUGGGGCAGUGGCCGAGCGAAGCUUUGCCCUCUGUGCUGCUGGCUGACUCCACGGUUCCUAUCUGAUGGUGCCAAGAUUAUAAACCAGCAAGCGAGCUGGUCCUGCAAACGGGCUUCCUCGUGGAGGCCCACCAGCUGUCGCACCUGGCUCGUCGCCCAGCCCACCCCUGGCAGGCCCCCAUCCUGGCCUCCUGGGGCCCCUGCGAGGUGUCCUGGGGUGUGGGGUUCUACCGAAUGGGGAACCCGGUCCUCCCUGCUUCCUUCUCUGCUCUGCCGGGCUGGGGUGGGUCUGUGGAGUUAUUCCAGAAGCCCCAGGCCCCAUCCCUCAGUUAACAGGGAAGCUUUUCCAGGCCAGCAGGGAAGCAGCGGAGGGUAAAGGUUGGCCUCCUUAUCAGGGCUCCCUGGAGGGAAGGAUGAGAAAACAAAGCCACCGCAGCCCUCUGGGCGUGACAGUUGCUGAUAAGAGGAAGGCCGGCUGGGUGGUUUGUGGUGACACCCAGUGAAAGCAGAAGUGGGUGGGACCCCGGCUAAUCUGGAGCUGCAUGUGGUCAGGACCCCUGCCCCAAGGCCAGGGACCAAGAGGCCAAAACAAAUUAGCCCCUAGCCCAGGGCCCUUGGGGACCGUUUUUUUUUCACCUUCCUCCCACUUUGCUGGAAGGUAUUGUGUGACUGCAGGCCCCCCCCCACAAGGAUCAGUUUUCCAAAUGCCUUCAGGGGUGGGCCUCAAGGGCCAGGCCUGCCUCUACCUUCUGUGGUUCCCUAUGUGCAUUCAUGGAGCACCUGCUGUAUACCUGGCCAGCACUCAGUGACGACCUGUAUGCCAGACUUGGGGAUUCAGGAAGAGACAGGAAAAGCUGGCUGGUCAGGACAGGGGCAGCCAGAGGGGUUCAUGAUGGCACAGACCCCAAGGGCGCUGAGAAAGCGGGGGGACUUGGAGGGGAUGUCUAAGGGGAAGUGUCCCGAACCGGGAGGCCCUGCAACUGCCUGAGGAUUAGAAGAACUGGCCGGGUCACCAGCCAAGCGUCUGUGGGUUUGGCUCAAGGCCAGGACGCUCUGAGUGCUCCACGGGGGCCCCACUGGCUCGCUUCCUUUAGGGAAGUGGGCUCGGGCUUAGAUCAAGGCUCCUCAAAAAGGGGAAGCAGAACCCUCUUGGUGAACUGACAGUGACGUUGGCUCCAUGGCGUAAGAAGAGAUGAGGGCCCUUCCCGAAGCUUCGGGGGCCAAGCCGCCUCCGUUCCCAGGGAAGAGAAGGCCUCCGAGGUGCCUGCCACUUGGCAAACCUGUGCUCGAGCAGUCCCCUCCCUGGGUCAAUCUCGGGCAGGGGCCUGUGACAUUUGCCACACCUUCCAGAUAACGGGAUCCUGGGGCUGCAUGGAACGUUCUAGGCUUUCACCCACACUCAGUGCUGGGAGAAAAUGGAGGUAGAGAGAUGUCAGGGGCCACCAGCAGCAGGUGGGUUUGGACCCAGGCCACCUGGCCCCCGGCUCCUACCCCAGCCCAGGAGGCUGCCUGAUCUGCAGUGGCCAACCCACCUGCCUCCAGGAAGGGACCCCACACCAGCGAGCAGGGGCUGGGAAAAGGUGGGGGCCGUGGGGCCUCCGAGAAGCAGGCAUGGCUGUCUAGGCCACCGGUCAGACUAUCAGGACUGCUCAUGGGCCUCGACCAGGAAAGGAAGGUUCCAGAAUGUCAAGGCCUGGCCCUGUGGAGGCCGGCAAGGUGCGGGUUGUAUCACCUGGAGGGCACACGCUCCAGGAGUUUGGAGGAGCGGGAGACAAGGGGGCCUGAUGAAGGGGUCCCUGUGAGCCCCCCGCCCCCACCCCCCGUCAGUAGGACCCAUCCCAACAGGUGGGGCAAGAAGGAGGCUUUUGCUCCUCACCGUUCCUGGGGGGCCCCUUAAGGCGGCAGUGAGGGAUCGAAGCAGGGAAGAGGCUCAAGUCUGCCCGAUGGGCGCCCAGCGGCAGCUGCAGGCAACGUUUGAUGGGGCAGAGGACCCAGGGCCUAGAACGGGGGCCUCAGGUUAUCAGCGUGGGGCAGUGGGCUCUGCUCCCGCCAUCCCCAUGACGGCGGGUCAUCCAGGCUUAGCUGCCAUGAGGAGACGACUACUUUUCUUUCUUUCUUUUUUUGCUUUUUAGGGCCACUCCCGCGGCAUAUGGAGGUUCCCAGGCUAGGGGUCCAAUCAGAGCUACAGCUGCCGGCCUACACCACAGCCACAGCAAUGCCAGAUCCUUAACCCACAGAGCGAGGCCAGGAAUCGAACCCGCAACCUCAUGGUUCCUGGUCGGAUUCAUUAACCACUGAGCCACGUCAGGAACUCCGGAGGAGCCCAUCUUGAUUUUGAUUUUCACAGGCAUCUGCUGGGGGCAGGGGGACAGGAAGAGGGUCAGACAGACUCCAGGCUCCGCUCCUGGGAGCUCAGUGAUUCUUGGCGCCAAGUCAAGCUUUAGAAAUUCAAAGGCUAAGUGAGGAGACACAGGCUGCUUGGCCAGAUCGACCUGUGGUCACCUCUGCUGCCCCAGGCCCCGAGCUGGGGGAGGGCUUCCAACUCCAGCUCCCCUACAGGAGGACCCCCUCCCCCUGAGAAGCUUCCAGAGUCCUUCCCCCAUCUGGUUUCUCACCCGGCCCCCCUGCUGAGGCAGUGCUCCCCCCCCCGUUGCCUUGUAUCCAAUCAGGCAUCAUUCAUUUAUUCACUUAUUCAGAGCUGUCCCCUCUGAGCACCAGGUGCCAUGCUGGGCACCAGGGAUGGGGACGCCACCUAAGCCUCACAGAGAAAGGAGUUCCCGUUGUGGCUCAGCCGAUUAAGAACCCAACUAGUAUCCCUGAGGACCCAGGUUCGAUCCCUGGCCUCGCUCAGUGGGUUAAGGAUCCACCGGCGUUGCCAUGGGCUGUGGUGUAGGUCACAGACGUGGCUCGGAUCUGGCAUUGCUGUGGCUGCGGCUGUGGUGUAGGUCGACACUUGCAGCUCCGAUUCAACCCUUAGCUUGGGAACCUCUAUAUGC
This 4813-nucleotide long non-coding RNA is filed under the name Sus scrofa (pig). RNAcentral describes it as "lncRNA (ENSSSCG00030056179.1)". The record is from RNAcentral. Lineage: Eukaryota; Metazoa; Chordata; Mammalia; Artiodactyla; Suidae.